RNAcentral lists this unclassified non-coding RNA (394 nucleotides) under uncultured fungus. RNAcentral describes it as "sequence contains ITS1". The stretch from base 1 to 104 matches the Rfam family "5.8S ribosomal RNA", at positions 50 to 154 of the family's 154-position model. Lineage: Eukaryota; Fungi. The record is from RNAcentral.
GAAAUGCGAUAAGUAGUGUGAAUUGCAGAUACCGUGAAUCAUCAAAUCUUUGAACGCACAUUGCACUGUCUGGAAUUCCGGGCAGUAUACCUGUUUGAGUAUCAGUAACAACUCUUGCCCAUUUGGCACCUCGACAGGGGUGGCAGUGGGCGAGGACUUGAGUGGAUGCUGUAACAAGCGCUACUUUAAAUACAUUUGCUAGGCCAGCACUGAGGUGCGGCGGCUGACAGAGUUAAUGGGCACCUAGUGCCUGUCGCUGUCGUGCCGUCAGCACUUUGCUCUUGGCGCUACUGGCAACUAGCUAAUUCGUUAGCACCAUGCAGUGCACUUGGUUAAAUCCAGGUGCGGCUGUGACUUUGAUCUCAAAUCAGGCAAGAUUACCCGCUGAACUUAA